RNAcentral lists this ribosomal RNA (879 nucleotides) under Flavobacterium sp. AKB-2008-JO31. RNAcentral's name for it is "bacterial SSU rRNA". It matches the Rfam family "Bacterial small subunit ribosomal RNA", at positions 8 to 893 of the family's 1533-position model. The record is from RNAcentral. RNAcentral also lists the same sequence under 1 other name. Lineage: Bacteria; Pseudomonadati; Bacteroidota; Flavobacteriia; Flavobacteriales; Flavobacteriaceae.
AGAGUUUGAUCCUGGCUCAGGAUGAACGCUAGCGGCAGGCUUAACACAUGCAAGUCGAGGGGUAUAUGUCUUCGGAUAUAGAGACCGGCGCACGGGUGCGUAACGCGUAUGCAAUCUACCUUUUACAGAGGGAUAGCCCAGAGAAAUUUGGAUUAAUACCUCAUAGUAUAGUGACUCGGCAUCGAGAUACUAUUAAAGUCACAACGGUAAAAGAUGAGCAUGCGUCCCAUUAGCUAGUUGGUAAGGUAACGGCUUACCAAGGCUACGAUGGGUAGGGGUCCUGAGAGGGAGAUCCCCCACACUGGUACUGAGACACGGACCAGACUCCUACGGGAGGCAGCAGUGAGGAAUAUUGGACAAUGGGCGCAAGCCUGAUCCAGCCAUGCCGCGUGCAGGAUGACGGUCCUAUGGAUUGUAAACUGCUUUUGUACGAGAAGAAACACUCCUACGUGUAGGAGCUUGACGGUAUCGUAAGAAUAAGGAUCGGCUAACUCCGUGCCAGCAGCCGCGGUAAUACGGAGGAUCCAAGCGUUAUCCGGAAUCAUUGGGUUUAAAGGGUCCGUAGGCGGUUUAGUAAGUCAGUGGUGAAAGCCCAUCGCUCAACGGUGGAACGGCCAUUGAUACUGCUAAACUUGAAUUAUUAGGAAGUAACUAGAAUAUGUAGUGUAGCGGUGAAAUGCUUAGAGAUUACAUGGAAUACCAAUUGCGAAGGCAGGUUACUACUAAUGGAUUGACGCUGAUGGACGAAAGCGUGGGUAGCGAACAGGAUUAGAUACCCUGGUAGUCCACGCCGUAAACGAUGGAUACUAGCUGUUGGAAGCAAUUUCAGUGGCUAAGCGAAAGUGAUAAGUAUCCCACCUGGGGAGUACGUUCGCAAGA